GGGAUAACUUCGGGAAACCGGAGCUAAUACCGGAUACGUUCUUUUCUCGCAUGAGAGAAGAUGGAAAGACGGUUUACGCUGUCACUUAUAGAUGGGCCCGCGGCGCAUUAGCUAGUUGGUGAGGUAAUGGCUCACCAAGGCGACGAUGCGUAGCCGACCUGAGAGGGUGAUCGGCCACACUGGGACUGAGACACGGCCCAGACUCCUACGGGAGGCAGCAGUAGGGAAUCUUCCGCAAUGGACGAAAGUCUGACGGAGCAACGCCGCGUGAACGAAGAAGGCCUUCGGGUCGUAAAGUUCUGUUGUUAGGGAAGAACAAGUACCAGAGUAACUGCUGGUACCUUGACGGUACCUAACCAGAAAGCCACGGCUAA
Molecule: ribosomal RNA, 374 nt
Filed under: bacterium gwi08
Lineage: Bacteria
Description: bacterial SSU rRNA
Rfam family: Bacterial small subunit ribosomal RNA
Source: RNAcentral